This 469-nucleotide ribosomal RNA is filed under the name Escherichia coli. Its description in RNAcentral is "bacterial SSU rRNA". It matches the Rfam family "Bacterial small subunit ribosomal RNA", at positions 1053 to 1522 of the family's 1533-position model. Lineage: Bacteria; Pseudomonadati; Pseudomonadota; Gammaproteobacteria; Enterobacterales; Enterobacteriaceae. RNAcentral also lists the same sequence under 1 other name. The record is from RNAcentral.
CGUCAGCUCGUGUUGUGAAAUGUUGGGUUAAGUCCCGCAACGAGCGCAACCCUUAUCCUUUGUUGCCAGCGGUCCGGCCGGGAACUCAAAGGAGACUGCCAGUGAUAAACUGGAGGAAGGUGGGGAUGACGUCAAGUCAUCAUGGCCCUUACGACCAGGGCUACACACGUGCUACAAUGGCGCAUACAAAGAGAAGCGACCUCGCGAGAGCAAGCGGACCUCAUAAAGUGCGUCGUAGUCCGGAUUGGAGUCUGCAACUCGACUCCAUGAAGUCGGAAUCGCUAGUAAUCGUGGAUCAGAAUGCCACGGUGAAUACGUUCCCGGGCCUUGUACACACCGCCCGUCACACCAUGGGAGUGGGUUGCAAAAGAAGUAGGUAGCUUAACCUUCGGGAGGGCGCUUACCACUUUGUGAUUCAUGACUGGGGUGAAGUCGUAACAAGGUAACCGUAGGGGAACCUGCGGUUGGA